RNAcentral lists this ribosomal RNA (467 nucleotides) under uncultured bacterium. RNAcentral's name for it is "partial 16S ribosomal RNA". It matches the Rfam family "Bacterial small subunit ribosomal RNA", at positions 28 to 506 of the family's 1533-position model. The record is from RNAcentral.
GACGAACGCUGGCGGCGUGCUUAACACAUGCAAGUCGAACGGAAAGGCCCUGCUUUUGUGGGGUGCUCGAGUGGCGAACGGGUGAGUAACACGUGAGUAACCUGCCCUUGACUUUGGGAUAACUUCAGGAAACUGGGGCUAAUACCGGAUAGGAGCUCCUGCUGCAUGGUGGGGGUUGGAAAGUUUCGGCGGUUGGGGAUGGACUCGCGGCUUAUCAGCUUGUUGGUGGGGUAGUGGCUUACCAAGGCUUUGACGGGUAGCCGGCCUGAGAGGGUGACCGGCAAAAUGGGGAAGAGAAUACGGCCCAGCCCCCUAGGGGAGGAAGGGGGGGGAAAUGUGGAAAAAGGGGGGGAAGCGUGAGGGAGCACCCCCGGGUGGGGGAUGCCGGCGUUGGGUUUGUAAACCGUUUCCCCCGGGGACGAAGGGGGGGGGAGGGAAAGGGGAAAAAAAGCACCGGAAAACUACGU